GUAAUUUUUAAAAAUAUUAUUAGUAUAAAUUAUAAAAAAAAUAAAAUAGUAAUGAAAUCGUAACAAAAAGAAGCUAAAUAUAAUAAUUUGGUAUGUUAAGAGAGUAAAAUAUAAAUUUUUAAAUAUUAGAGAUGGAAAGGUAAAAAAUGAGUAUUUAUAAAAAAAAAAAAAUUAUAAUUUAUCUUAAUUUUUUUAAAAAAA
This 201-nucleotide long non-coding RNA is filed under the name Ananas comosus (pineapple). RNAcentral describes it as "long non-coding RNA (ACOM_LNC043738)". The record is from RNAcentral. Lineage: Eukaryota; Viridiplantae; Streptophyta; Magnoliopsida; Poales; Bromeliaceae.